UCUGCACACAUUUUUCUCAAGUCCGAGAUUUUCUUUACUUGGCUUUCGAUAAAGCUCUGUCCACCAAACCCAGGGUUGACCGACAUUAUCAAGACCAGAUCCACCUCUGAGUUCAGUAACAAAUAAUACUCAAAUGAGAAUAAUCUUACCAUCUCAUGCCAAAGCAACUGCAGUAUUAUGACAAAAAAAACUAACCAUCCAAGACAUAUUCUAUUGCACUCAAUGGGGUUCCAGGGUUUAGGACAACUCCAGCUUUAGCCCCUAGGCUUUUGAUCUAAACAUCAUCGUAGCAGCACAUUGUGUGGUUAUUGUAAGAGUACUCCAUCAAAUGGAAAAAAAUUAAAGCGGAAUCAAGAAAAUAUCAGUACUUGAUUAACGGUACGAUGCAAAUGGAUGGUCGAUUGCUGUUCACAGUGUACACUGAUUAUAUCCGCACCUGCUUUGAUGAAAUCCGGUACUCUCUGCUCGGGUUCCACUAUCAUCUAGAUAUAGAGAAUUUUUAAUCAGAAAUGUGCCUUGAAGCAUCAAGAAACCAUAUAUAGAGAAAUAAGAAAAGGAGCCAAGUCUUUACAAGAUGAACAUCCAACGGGAGAUCAGUCACAGGACGCAAAGCAUCAACCACGAGAGGUCCGAUUGUAAUGUUGGGAACAAAACGACCGUCCAUCACAUCAACAUGAAUCCAAUCACAACCUGCCAACUCUACUGCUUUAACCUGGAAGAAGCCGGAAACAAAAGGAGUGAAAUGCAGAAACAAAACACAAGAAGUCAUUGAAACAGAAAACCUAAGAGGAGAGCAACAAAAACCUGCUCGCCUAAUUUGGCGAAGUUAGCCGAGAGAAUUGAGGGAGAAACAAUGAUAUCACUUUUCGAAAACUUAUCAACCCGAGCUGAAGCCUUCACAAUUCCAUGAGUUCUCCUUCUGCAAAAGUAUACAUACCAAAGUGUCAAUUGAGCUCUCAAGAUCAAACAGGAACUGAACAUGUUUACUCAAGCAUACCCACAAACAGAAGAAACACACAAUGAUACAAACCAAAUAAUCUUCACUUAAACCACAAAAUUUCAGCAUACUUCAAUUCAACGAUGCCAAUCAAACCUAUCUGUGAGCAAUUGUAGUAACUACAACAAACUGUAUCUAGUGUCACACCGAUCAAAGUUCGAAAAUUAUAUUUGAAAACUAGUAAACAGUCUUCGCUAGGAUUACGAUUGCAACCAUUAAAUUCAAAGCCUCAAAGAGAAGGAAAAAGGAAGGAACUUUAGAUUCCGGGGACUCGGAAGAGCAGCUAAAAUGAUGAAUUACCUGGAGAAAGAAAACGAAGUGGGUUGGUAAAGAAGCGACCUUUCAGGUCUAAGACCAAACCCAUUGACCUGAGUUGAUGAACAGCACAAGGAAGCAGCUGAGCUCGACAUUAUCCAAAAUCAGAGAUUCAAGUUUCUCUCACAAGAAUCUUAGUGGAUUGUUAGGUAAAAUGAGAGAAAACCCCAAUCUUAUAUCUUGCUCUUCCUCUUCUUCCUUCGUUUCUCUCUACAC
RNAcentral lists this long non-coding RNA (1528 nucleotides) under Capsella grandiflora. RNAcentral's name for it is "long non-coding RNA (CGRA_LNC001368)". Lineage: Eukaryota; Viridiplantae; Streptophyta; Magnoliopsida; Brassicales; Brassicaceae. The record is from RNAcentral.